CGCGGAAUGGCACUGGGAGGGUGCGGGACCACAAAUCUGAUCUGAGCAAGUUAGCGGCUGCAUGUGCCGCAGAAAAAAGGACUGUGCGGUUCACUGACAUGGCAAAGGACAGAAAUAGGAAAAACCUCUGCGGCUCACGAGGAAGCCAGACACGGUUUAAGAACAAGGCCGCACAUACUUUCGAGGUUUGCAACAAACAGUUUUCAGUUCGUGCUGUGAACAGGUAUGCGAUGCACUACUGAGUGCUAAGUUUGCCAAAAACGACUGGCUUUGAACGUGUUGCUAGAUCGAAUAACACCAACUUCUGUGGUUUUUCACUGACAAGAACCAUAGGCGCACAAGGUUUGGUAAGUGCGAUGUACGUAUUCGCAUGGUUUGAUGAGUUAAGAUCCUCUGAAACCACCCGAGAGCUAGAGAAUCAAGGCUGGAUUCUCUAGCUCUUUUUCUAGCCACCCGAAUAAUUGUAACUUUCUUCCUUGUAUCCCACUUUCUAUUGAAUCAAGGUGGGUCUCAGUCUGCGGCCAGUCUAGAGGCUCUUCUUUUAGUUUCUCAGACUGAAGUGCUGCAUCAAAGGUAGCACAAGCAGCAUCUGCAUUUCCCUGCUCACAAUUUCACGCACAUUCAGCCACCGCAAAUCCAAAUCUUAGCAAAUUCGGGAAAGCAUAACACGUUAAUGUAAGUCUACAUUAAAUUCUUAAAUGUGAAAAAUUACAGAGAAGGCAAGUGUUUGUUACCUGACGGUGCUCAAAGUUAGCUUGUUUGAGAAUAACGUCCAGGAGUCCUAGAACCAACUCAUUUCUUAGGAUUUCGAAUGCUACUCGAGCAUCUUCCACAUAACCAUGCUGCUCAUAGAACUUUGUUGCAAAAAGGUGAAUUCUUGUUUUGUAAGUUCUUAGAGUUUUCCAUGAUGAUGUUUAAUGAAGGUUGCAUCGGACCUUCUGCUUUAAAAGUAAAAUCUUGGGGUGCAUUUGUUCGAGUCUAUCUGUCGGCUUGGGUCAUUUUUGUAAUGCUAUCAAGAGGCCCGAGCUACUGUUGGAGGCUGACGGUGGUGUUCUAAAUUUCCCACAGUAGGUUUUCUUCAACGCUGUUUUCUGCAUGGAUUACUCAUGUUGUGGAGUGCAUCUGUUGAGAAGAUGAGGAGAAUACCAUUUAUUGGUGCUCAAUGGACACAAUAGUUAAGUUACGCUCCAAGUCUGCUCGCAAUAUUGGCUUAGAUGUUGUAAGUUUGCCAUCCCACACCUCCCAUUGCAGUCUUUGAAUGUAUCGAUUCACACCUCCCAUUGUAGUCUUUGAAUGUAUCGAUUAUUAAAACUUUCAAGCAAUUCUUCAAUCAAUAUAGAGAUUAUUGGCUACUACAAAGGAUGUGUUGGCACAAUGGAUCUUCUUGCAUUACGAAAGGCACUAAGUCCAUCAAAUAUUCAAAGUGGUUUUUUUGUUAUGGGAAUUUAUCCAUUAGACAAGGAGGUCGUAAAGAAGCACAUGGGAUUAUUUAAGAUCUAUAAGAAUGCUUCUACGGACACUUCUUUUGAAGAUGGUGGCACUUUGGAGCAAGUGUAGGGAAGCAAUGCCAUUGACUCACAAGCCAUGCUGGAAGAAGAGCAAAUGGAGUAAGAUAGAGGUAGGAAAGAUGUGGAUUCUUUUUAUGUAAGAGUCUCUAUAGCCAUAGGGUAGUUUAAAGUUCAGGGUAGACAUGCUGAGAGGUAGAGUGCCUCAACAAUACAUGUUGUAGAAACCUUACUAUUUAAUCAAGUAGCACCACUAUUAUUAGCCAUUGGAUUGCAACUGAUGCUUCUUCCUUUAAAUGGAUUUUUCUCUUGUCAUACACAAGAGCAUUGAAUGAAUACAAAUCUUUAACAUCAA
Molecule: non-coding RNA, 1860 nt
Organism: Physcomitrium patens
Lineage: Eukaryota; Viridiplantae; Streptophyta; Bryopsida; Funariales; Funariaceae
Source: RefSeq, a predicted model, not a curated record